CCAACAAAAAGAGUAAUAAAAAUAUAUAAAGGCAGCCCACAAAUUAGUAAGAAAAUGAGCAGCAAACAGAACAGUAGAAAAACGAUGGGAAAAUUUUUUUUCAAAAUAUAAAAAAAGUAAUUGACACGGUUAUGUAAGACUGAACUUCACACAUGAAUUAAUAAAGCAGUGAGCCAGACUUUCCUUCCUCGUGUGAUUCAGCCCCGCAGUUGGGGUGGCGGGGGGGCGGGUAGGGAGCGAGUUCUUUAACACUGAGCGCUCUGGACUGGCUUUCAAUAUUAGACAUCCGGAGUUUUUGAAAAUUAACACUGGAACAAAAGUGACUAUCAUACUCCAUGUCCCCUUCACCCGCCCUCAGUCACAACUUUAUUUUAAGGUUUCUUUGAGGCUGAUUAAAAAAAAAAAAAAAAAACAACCUAA
RNAcentral lists this long non-coding RNA (420 nucleotides) under Homo sapiens (human). Its description in RNAcentral is "non-protein coding lnc-PERP-6:1". Lineage: Eukaryota; Metazoa; Chordata; Mammalia; Primates; Hominidae. The record is from RNAcentral.